This 497-nucleotide ribosomal RNA is filed under the name uncultured bacterium. Its description in RNAcentral is "partial 16S ribosomal RNA". It matches the Rfam family "Bacterial small subunit ribosomal RNA", at positions 28 to 507 of the family's 1533-position model. The record is from RNAcentral.
GAUGAACGCUGGCGGCGUGCCUAAUACAUGCAAGUCGAGCGAACAGACGAGGAGCUUGCUCCUCUGACGUUAGCGGCGGACGGGGGAGUAACACGUGGAUAACCUACCUAUAAGACUGGGAUAACUUCGGGAAACCGGAGCUAAUACCGGAUAAUAAAUUGAACGGCAUGGUUCAAUAGUGAAAGACGGUUUUGCUGUACCUUAUAGAUGGAUCCGCGCCGCAUUAGCUAGUUGGUAAGGUAACGGCUUACCAAGGCAACGAUGCGUAGCCGACCUGAGAGGGUGAUCGGCCACACUGGAACUGAGACACGGUCCAGACUCCUACGGGAGGCAGCAGUAGGGAAUCUUCCGCAAUGGGCGAAAGCCUGACGGAGCAACGCCGCGUGAGUGAUGAAGGUCUUCGGAUCGUAAAACUCUGUUAUUAGGGAAGAACAAAUGUGUAAGUAACUAUGCACGUCUUGACGGUACCUAAUCAGAAAGCCACGGCUAACUACGUG